This 331-nucleotide long non-coding RNA is filed under the name Arachis ipaensis. RNAcentral's name for it is "long non-coding RNA (AIPA_LNC002271)". The record is from RNAcentral. Lineage: Eukaryota; Viridiplantae; Streptophyta; Magnoliopsida; Fabales; Fabaceae.
ACGGUUGAAUUACGCAUCAUGGCGCGUCAGCCUUAACGCCCUAACUAACUAGAAAUAUCUUAUGAGAAGAAAGAGCUUUCUUUCUAUAUUGGUAAAAUUUAUUUAUGCCCGCAGAAUUUGUAGGGUUAUCGCCCGAUAAUGUUAAAUUGAUUCAAAAUAAGGUGAAGACUGGUAAGUAUACUCUGUCUCCAUUUCCACUUAAAAGUAUUUUCUAGUAAAGAAAAAGCACCUAAGAAUACAUAUUUUAUUCAUAUUAAUAUAGAUAAAUCAACAGUUUAUGGAUGUUUAUAUCCUAUUCUGGAAGAUAAUAUUGUUAUUACUGCGCUUGGGC